This is a long non-coding RNA of Astatotilapia calliptera (eastern happy), 823 nucleotides long. The record is from Ensembl. NCBI's taxonomy places the organism in Eukaryota, Metazoa, Chordata, Actinopteri, Cichliformes, Cichlidae.
UUUGACAGCAAUAUAUUUUAAUGACGGGAAGGUUCACACUUUAAUCCAUAAUCCAAUUCAUAUUCCUGUUUCUCAAGCACUUGUCUGCUUGUUUAUAAGCUGAUCUGGUGGAUGGGUUUUAGUCCAAUCUUAAAGAAUCAAAGAAAUUCCGUUCUUUAGCUUUGAUUGUUCAUGACGGAUUCGGUGUACGUAGGUUUCCUCUUCGGAUGAAUCCGAAACCUUCCCACUUUCGCUCAUUAAAGUCAUCGUAACCAUAACCUGCGCUCUUGUUAUAUAAACACCCAUCAGAAUCUGGACUGUGAUUCAUUUUAGGUCCCAAAUGUUUAACAGUAGUUGAUUUGAAUGAUUGUUGAUACACGCCUUGAAUUACUGUAAUGAAGGGAGAUCGUAUCCUGUUAUUCUGGUUAUGGAUAAACUGCAGUGUAUUGUUAUUUACAGGCCAAGUGGAAAUCAAUUUCAAAUUUCUGCUCCAAAUUUGGCCAAGUUCUGCCUGCCUGGUAUAGCCCCAUGUUAGAGAGAAGGAGGGGUGUUCUUUGUCCCAAAGAGUGCAAACUGCAGGAGGAGUUUCUGUUACUGGAUCUUGCACUUGGCUGUAUAGCACAGUUUGAAUUUCCAGCACAGCUCCACAUCAUUAUUAAACAUUUGCUUGAACUUAUAUAGUCUAAAGUAUGUCCUGAGUUCUUCAAAAGUAAGUGAUUUCAUGAUUCUGUUGGUUUCCAGAAGACUCUUUUUAACUUUCCCAUUAUGGCACCUCAACCUUGUGUUUCUUGUUCUUUUUCUUUACAGUUCUCUUGGCAUCAGCGAGGUAUUUGUGACUAAAGAA